Helianthus annuus (common sunflower) is the source of this 702-nucleotide long non-coding RNA. RefSeq lists it as uncharacterized. NCBI's taxonomy places the organism in Eukaryota, Viridiplantae, Streptophyta, Magnoliopsida, Asterales, Asteraceae. The record is from RefSeq and is a predicted model, not a curated record. The transcript has 3 exons.
AUGCCCUGAUAACACCAAGACACAGCUCUCCACCCCAGUUUCAUCUUUAGAAACCCUAACGGCUUUCAGAGAGAGCGAGAGACGACAGGUGGUACGGCACCACCACCGGAAACACCGCCAUCAUCUCCAAUCGCACCACCACAUCUAACUAUGUGCCAUUACAUCUUCUUCUUCGCUACCUCUACGAACCCGCCGACGUAGAUGAUCGGAGUUGGUCGGCUUUACGGCGUGCUCUUUCUCUAUUUCUACUUUUCAUGUUCAGGGUUCCGGCGAACUGAUUCAAGGUGUGUGUAUGUAAUCUGAGUAGAUCAGUCUUACCUACGGCAACUGAGAGACACUAGGUGAGCCAUUUAUCACUUUAUAUGCUCCCGAUCAGAAUUCCGGCAAGCCCCUUUGGGCUUGCAUGUUUCGUUUCUAUUUAGAUCUACAAGCAAGAACUAAUUUUUAUUGGAUUGGAGUUUAAUACGAUGGUUCUUCUGAAUUCCUGCAACCUUUGGAUCUCGAAUGGUUUUGUGAGAUGAUGUUGAGCAGCAAAUGACGAUGGUGAUAGUUCAAAUGGUAUAUCAGGGGCUGCUAUAGAUAGUUUUAGAUCAUGGCCAACCUCAUUCAACACGAACAGAUCAUAACUCUGAGCACAUGAACGGCAAGGGGUGAGCGCAGUGGCGGAUCUUGCCCGUUGAACCUGCCAGGGCCGAAAGACAC